Molecule: ribosomal RNA, 449 nt
Filed under: uncultured organism
Description: partial 16S ribosomal RNA
Rfam family: Bacterial small subunit ribosomal RNA
Source: RNAcentral
CACUCCUACGGGAGGCAGCAGUGGGGAAUCUUGCGCAAUGGGCGAAAGCCUGACGCAGCCAUGCCGCGUGAAUGAUGAAGGUCUUAGGAUUGCAAAAUUCUUUCACCGGGGACGAUAAUGACGGUACCCGGAGAAGAAGCCCCGGCUAACUUCGUGCCAGCAGCCGCGGUAAUACGAAGGGGGCUAGCGUUGCUCGGAAUUACUGGGCGUAAAGGGAGCGUAGGCGGACAUUUAAGUCAGGGGUGAAAUCCCGGGGCUCAACCUCGGAAUUGCCUUUGAUACUGGGUGUCUUGAGUAUGAGAGAGGUGUGUGGAACUCCGAGUGUAGAGGUGAAAUUCGUAGAUAUUCGGAAGAACACCAGUGGCGAAGGCGACACACUGGCUCAUUACUGACGCUGAGGCUCGAAAGCGUGGGGAGCAAACAGGAUUAGAUACCCGUGUAGUCCCAUG